UUUUACGGAGAGUUUGAUCCUGGCUCAGGACGAACGCUGGCGGCGUGCUUAACACAUGCAAGUCGAACGAUGAAGCCCAGCUUGCUGG
Molecule: ribosomal RNA, 88 nt
Filed under: Rathayibacter sp. AY1A2
Lineage: Bacteria; Bacillati; Actinomycetota; Actinomycetes; Micrococcales; Microbacteriaceae
Also listed under: 4 other names
Description: partial 16S ribosomal RNA
Rfam family: Bacterial small subunit ribosomal RNA
Source: RNAcentral